Molecule: ribosomal RNA, 300 nt
Filed under: uncultured Lactobacillus sp.
Lineage: Bacteria; Bacillati; Bacillota; Bacilli; Lactobacillales; Lactobacillaceae
Description: bacterial SSU rRNA
Rfam family: Bacterial small subunit ribosomal RNA
Source: RNAcentral
GCUACGUAGGUGCUAGCAGCGGCGGUAGGACGGAUGUUGCAAGGGUUAAUCGGAAUUACGGGGCGUAAAGCGUGCGCAGGCGGUUGGAUAAGUUAGAUGUGAAAGCCCCGGGCUCAACCUGGGAAUUGCAUUUAAAACUGACAAGCUAGAGUCUUGUAGAGGGGGGUAGAAUUCCAGGUGUAGCGGUGAAAUGCGUAGAGAUCUGGAGGAAUACCGGUGGCGAAGGCGGCCCCCUGGACAGAGACUGACGCUCAGGUGCGAAAGCGUGGGGAGCAAACAGGAUUAGAUACCCCUGUAGUC